GCUUACACAUGCAGUCGAGCGGGGAAGGGUAGCUUGCUACCUAACCUAGCGGCGGACGGGUGAGUAAUGCUUAGGAAUCUGCCUAUUAGUGGGGGACAACAUUUCGAAAGGAAUGCUAAUACCGCAUACGCCCUACGGGGGAAAGCAGGGGAUCUUCGGACCUUGCGCUAAUAGAUGAGCCUAAGUCGGAUUAGCUAGUUGGUGGGGUAAAGGCCUACCAAGGCGACGAUCUGUAGCGGGUCUGAGAGGAUGAUCCGCCACACUGGGACUGAGACACGGCCCAGACUCCUACGGGAGGCAGCAGUGGGGAAUAUUGGACAAUGGGGGGAACCCUGAUCCAGCCAUGCCGCGUGUGUGAAGAAGGCCUUUUGGUUGUAAAGCACUUUAAGCGAGGAGGAGGAGCUCUAGACUAAUACUCUAGAUGCUUGGACGUUACUCGCAGAAUAAGCACCGGCUAACUCUGUGCCAGCAGCCGCGGUAAUACAGAGGGUGCAAGCGUUAAUCGGAUUUACUGGGCGUAAAGCGUGCGUAGGUGGCCAAUUAAGUCAAAUGUGAAAUCCCCGAGCUUAACUUGGGAAUUGCAUUCGAUACUGGUUGGCUAGAGUAUGGGAGAGGAUGGUAGAAUUCCAGGUGUAGCGGUGAAAUGCGUAGAGAUCUGGAGGAAUACCGAUGGCGAAGGCAGCCAUCUGGCCUAAUACUGACACUGAGGUACGAAAGCAUGGGGAGCAAACAGGAUUAGAUACCCUGGUAGUCCAUGCCGUAAACGAUGUCUACUAGCCGUUGGGGUCUUUGAGACUUUAGUGGCGCAGCUAACGCGAUAAGUAGACCGCCUGGGGAGUACGGUCGCAAGACUAAAACUCAAAUGAAUUGACGGGGGCCCGCACAAGCGGUGGAGCAUGUGGUUUAAUUCGAUGCAACGCGAGACCUUACCUGGUCUGACAU
Molecule: ribosomal RNA, 942 nt
Filed under: uncultured bacterium
Lineage: Bacteria
Description: bacterial SSU rRNA
Rfam family: Bacterial small subunit ribosomal RNA
Source: RNAcentral